GUUUGAUCCUGGCUCAGGAUAAACGCUGGCGGCGUGCCUUACGCAUGCAAGUUGAACGAAGCCCGGCCUUCGGGUCGGUGACUGAGUGGCAAACGGCUGAGUAACGCGUAGGUGAUCUGUCCCGAGGAGGGGAACAACUCGUGGAAACGCGAGCUAAUGCCCCAUACGCCCACCGGUUCAGCCCGGUGGGGAAAUGUUCCGGCGCCUUGGGAGGAGCCUGCGUCCGAUUAGCUAGUUGGUGGGGUAACGGCCUACCAAGGCAGCGAUCGGUAGCUGGUCUGAGAGGAUGAUCAGCCAGACUGGGACUGAGACACGGCCCAGACUCCUACGGGAGGCAGCAGCGAGGAAUCUUGCACAAUGGGCGAAAGCUGAUGCAGCAACGCCGCGUGGGUGAUGAAGGCCUUAGGGUUGUAAAUCCCUUUUGCCGGGGAAGAAUUUUWACGGUACCCGGCGAAUAAGCCACGGCUAACUACGUGCCAGCAGCCGCGGUAAGACGUAGGUGGCGAGCGUUAUCCGGAUUUACUAGGCGUAAAGCGUACGUAGGCGGCUCCAUAAGUUUGUWGUGAAAUCUCCCGGCUCAACCGGGAGC
This 589-nucleotide ribosomal RNA is filed under the name uncultured bacterium. RNAcentral's name for it is "bacterial SSU rRNA". It matches the Rfam family "Bacterial small subunit ribosomal RNA", at positions 11 to 620 of the family's 1533-position model. The record is from RNAcentral.